RNA transcript from Quercus lobata, 1687 nucleotides. It is a transcript of the gene named protein PELOTA 1-like, with no coding region annotated. The record is from RefSeq and is a predicted model, not a curated record. NCBI's taxonomy places the organism in Eukaryota, Viridiplantae, Streptophyta, Magnoliopsida, Fagales, Fagaceae. The transcript is spliced from 16 exons.
AAAACUGUUGGAGCUUGUUAAACUCCAGAGAGAACCCUAUAAAUUCUCCACAACUCGACCCUACUAACAUCCUCUCUCUCUUCAAAGAAAAAAAAAAAAAAAAACAUAUCACAACAGAACGAGAAGCGAAUUAAGGAGUGGAGUGUGUGUUUGUUGGUGAAGAAAAGUAAAGCAUGAAGAUUGUUCGCAGAGACCUAGUUCCUCACGGUCCUGGUAGCGUUAAGAUGGUACCAGUGGAUGCCGAUGAUUUAUGGUUUGUUUAUAAUCUCAUAUCCCCUGGAGAUUCUGUCAUGGCUGUCACUGUCAGGAAAGUUCUUAGACAAGCGGCUACUGGAGGAAGAGAUGCUGAACGUAUGAAAUUGAAGUUGGAAAUAAAAGUUGAGGAGGUUGCAGAUUAUGACUCAGUAGGGUCUGUUUUGCGCAUACGUGGGAAAAAUGUUCUAGAGAAUGAGCAUGUAAAGAUUGGGGCAUUCCAUACUUUAGAACUUGAGCUGCAUCGACCUUUUGUGUUACGAAAGGAUGUUUGGGACUCAUUGGCAUUAGAUGUACUUCAUCAGGCCUCUGACCCUUCUGCAAGUGCUGAUUUAGCUGUGGUUUUAAUGCAAGAAGGAUUAGCGCAUGUUUUACUUGUUGGUAAAAGUGUGACAAUUACUCGUUCACGGAUAGAAACUUCAAUUCCUCGGAAACAUGGACCUGCUAUUGCUGGUUAUGAGUCGGCUCUGAAUAAGUUCUUUGAGAAUGUGUUGCAGGCUUUCUUGAAGCAUGUUGAUUUUGAAGUUGUCCGCUGUGCUGUGAUUGCAAGUCCUGGUUUCACAAAGGAUCAGUUUCAUCGUCACUUAUUGUUGGAGGCAGAAAGAAGACAGCUGAGACCUAUUAUCGAGAACAAGUCACGGAUAGUUCUUGUGCAUACAACAUCAGGAUACAAGCAUAGUUUGAGAGAGGUUUUGGAUGCCCCUAAUGUCAUGAAUAUGAUAAAAGAUACUAAAGCAGCACAAGAGAUUCGAGCUCUCAAGGAUUUUUUCGACAUGCUUUCAAAUGUCAGGAUCCUUCUCGUGCUUGCUACGGACCAAAGCACGUUGAAGUUGCCCAUGAACGAUUGGCUAUACAAACACUUCUCCUUACAGAUGAACUUUUCAGGAAUUCUGAUGUAGCUACAAGGAAAAAAUAUGCCAAUUUGGUUGAUUCAGUGAAGGAUUCAGGGGGCACUGUUCAUAUUUUUUCAUCUUUGCAUGUCUCAGGAGAACAACUGGCGACGAUAACUGGCAUUGCAGCAAUCCUGCGCUUCCCACUGCCCGACCUUGAAGACAUAGAGAUGUGAUUGGAACAUUUUGUGGGUCAGAAAUCCGCAAUUUGUUCUGUGUCCAAUGGCACCGACAUGUUGUAUAUUACAAUUUUUUUUUUUUCUUUUGGAUUUUUGUCAUGUAAUACAACAAUAAACUGCAAUAUGUGCUUGGAGGUUCGAGGUUGUCUCUUCUUGUGGGUAGAUAGAUUGGUUAAUUAUACAUUUGGAAUUGUAUCAUAGAACAAGCAAUGCUCACUUGAUUCCCCUCUUCCAACCCUUUUAAGAUAUUAUUGUAUUGAUAGUGGCACUGGCUGUCUUUUACGGUCUGUUAGAGACUGUAACAUAGUAUUGUAUUGUAACAUAUUUCUUCUACUUCAGUGAAUAAAUAUACUUUUUAUAGUCCAA